This 513-nucleotide ribosomal RNA is filed under the name uncultured bacterium. RNAcentral's name for it is "partial 16S ribosomal RNA". It matches the Rfam family "Bacterial small subunit ribosomal RNA", at positions 28 to 507 of the family's 1533-position model. The record is from RNAcentral.
GACGAACGCUGGCGGCGUGCUUAACACAUGCAAGUCGAACGAAAAGAGGGAAAGAGCUUGCUCUUUCCGGAAUUGAGUGGCAAACGGGUGAGUAACACGUAAACAACCUGCCUUCAGGAUGGGGACAACAGACGGAAACGACUGCUAAUACCGAAUAAGUUCCAAGGGCCGCAUGGCCCAUGGAAGAAAAGGUGGCCUCUACCUGUAAGCUAUCGCCUGAAGAGGGGUUUGCGUCUGAUUAGCUGGUUGGAGGGGUAACGGCCCACCAAGGCGACGAUCAGUAGCCGGUCUGAGAGGAUGAACGGCCACACUGGAACUGAGACACGGUCCAGACUCCUACGGGAGGCAGCAGUGGGGAAUCUUCCGCAAUGGGCGAAAGCCUGACGGAGCAACGCCGCGUGAGUGAUGACGGCCUUCGGGUUGUAAAACUCUGUGAUCCGGGACGAAAAGGCAGAGUGCGAAGAACAAACUGCAUUGACGGUACCGGAAAAGCAAGCCACGGCUAACUACGUG